UAGACAGAGUUUUGCUCUGUUGCCCAGGCUGGAGUACAGUGGCAUGAUCUCAACUCACUGCAACCUCCGCCUUCCGGGUUCAAGCAGUUCUCCUGCCUCAGCCUCCCAAGUAGCUGGGAUUACAGGCACCCGCCACCACGCCUGGCUAAUUUUUGUGUUUUUAGUAGAGGCGGGGUUUCACCAUGUUGGCCAGGCUGGUCUCGAACACCUGACCUCAGGUGAUCCACCUGCCUUGGCCUCCCAAAGUGCUGGGAUUACAGGUGUGAGCCACUGUACCUGGCCCAUUUGCUACUUUUUCUUGGCUGGGUUUUGGUUAUUUAUAGAUAUCUUGGGGAUUUUCCGGUUUCUGUAAGUCUAAUGGAGCAAGGAGGGUGUUCCUGUAUUCCUUUUUUGCUGUCACUUUUGGUAGAGAAGCAAGGGCGUUCCGUGUUCCUGUGCAUGCCAUAUGUCUGUCCUGUAGCAUCACGAGUGACCUGAAGCAGGAGGGGCCUGCAGCGGAAUCUCCCUUCUCAGCUAGGACAAGGUUCGUGGCCCAGAGUUGUUGGAGAGGACGGUGGCACUCUGUGCAGAGCAGGUGUCAGUGAGGAUGUGGUGCUGGCUUGGGCAAUGGUGCUGGCCGGGAGCUGACUGCGGCCUGCUUCCUGCCGUGGAGGCACCUGGGUCAGCCAUCUGCCAGUGGCUUCUGCUGGGGUGUCUUCCUGAGUGGCUCACCUGGUGCUUGCAGGGCAGGUGGAUAAGGGAAUGCUGUUGCCAUGGUUUGAACAAGCAGAGACAGAUUUGGUGUGCCUUACUUGUAGAUACAUACAUAGAGGAAUCUCAGAUUUCAUAACGUCUUGAGGAUUGUCUGUAUUCAUUUCUUACCGGGAGGGCAGGCUCCAGGGACCGAGUCCUUGUUCCUUGUUUGUUAGGCACUAUCGCUCUUGUCCAUGUUUCAAGAACUUGGGGUGCAGUGUGUUUCGUGUGAAUCGGGGGCAUCUGUAGACAUCCACAUGGUAAAAACCUCCGUUCUGCUUUGGGUAUUAAAUAAAGCACAGAUCCGAGAUGGCAACAAACCGAAAGGAAGGCUGAAGCGGAGGCCCCCACUGUGAAUGCAGGAAAGAGGUUCCGUCAGCACAGGGGGCCAAAGCCUCAGGAUGGAGCUGCCUGGGGAGCCACUUUGCUGAAGAGCGGGCCGUGCCACGUGGUGCCGCCUGCUGUUCUUAGACAGGACUCUUGGACCUCACUGAAUCUGCUGUGGAAGGACAUUCCGAAGUGGCGUUUCAGUGGUGAGGUGGCAGUGGUGGGAUUGAAGGAGCCCGGCUUGUGGAGCAGCCACGUGCUGAAGGGCACAGCAGACGGCGUGCAGUGGGCUGAGAGGGGCCGUGGGCCUGGCUCUGCUGCUUCCUUAGGUGGAGUUUUCAGUGACUGCAGAACUCUGCACAGCUGCUUUUCAUUCUCACGUCCGCCGCCCCCCCCCUCCCGCCCCCAAUCUUUGAAACUAACUUUGAUCAUUCCCUCCUGGGUAGCUCUGUUGGUGCUGUAUAAGUUCGGUUUUCAAUUGGUUCUCAGCACCCAGGGGGUGACCACCUCAACCCCAUCUCUACUAUGCCAGGGGCUCAUCCCACUCACCCAGCCUCGCCACUGUUCUCUCGUGUGAGCCUCACAUGGCAGGCCCAGUUCCAUGCCCCUGCUUCCCCCUUGCUGGGAACGCUGUCCUCAGGCUCCCCUGCCUGCUCUUUCUUUAGCUUUCACCUUCUCCAGAGCCUUCUGUUCUCUCCAGCCCAGGGCAGUCCUCUGAACCACUCAUGUACGAGCUCACAGUGUUUGGUGUUUCUAAGACCUGGCCUCUUAGAUUGUGUGUGAAGAUGGUGUAUGGGAGAUCUUGGACCUGUAGGUGCAGGUCACAAAGAACACAGAGCUUGGUGCAUGACAUGUAGCAGGAUCCAGCGGUUGAAUGGAUGGUGGUGUGUGACUCUGGGGAAAGAGAUCCGUCCAUACACAUUCAGCGUUUCCCUCCCCAGCUUCAGCACCUGCACCCUGGAUCCCCUGGAGGGCACAGUGCGCUCGCAGCAUGCCGGCCUGGUGCUCGUGGAUCGUGGCUGCCUAACGCUGCCUCUUUUUCAGAUUCUCAUUCAGAUUGUGGAUGCCUCGUCAGUCAUCACUUGGGAUUUCGACGUGUGCAAAGGGGACAUUGUGUUUAACAUCUAUCACUCCAAGAGGUCGCCACAACCACCCAAAAAGGACUCCCUGGGAGCCCACAGCAUCACCUCUCCGGGUGGGAACAACGUGCAGCUCAUAGACAAAGUCUGGCAGCUGGGCCGCGACUACAGCAUGGUGGAGUCGCCUCUGAUCUGCAAAGAAGGAGAAAGCGUGCAGGGUUCCCAUGUGACCAGGUGGCCGGGCUUCUACAUCCUGCAGUGGAAAUUCCACAGCAUGCCUGCGUGCGCCGCCAGCAGCCUUCCCCGGGUGGACGACGUGCUCGCGUCCCUGCAGGUCUCUUCGCACAAGUGUAAAGUGAUGUACUACACCGAGGUGAUCGGCUCGGAGGAUUUCAGAGGUUCCAUGACGAGCCUGGAGUCCAGCCACAGCGGCUUCUCCCAGCUGAGUGCCGCCACCACCUCCUCCAGCCAGUCCCACUCCAGCUCCAUGAUCUCCAGGUAGUGCCGCGCUGCCUGCACCUAGUGUGCAGAGGGGACGGCCGCCCCUCCUCGGACAGCCAGCUGCACCCGCCCACCCAGCGGCGACAUUGUACAGACUCCUCUCACCUCUAGAUAGCAAAUAGCUCUCAGAUGGUAAACGUAGUCGUUUGAUCCCAAAACUACCUUGGCAGGUAGUUUUAACUCUGAUCCUAACUUAACUCAAUAGCCAUAGAUUUUGUAUACGUUGUGCACAAAAUCCAACCAGAGCGCAAGGGCUCUCUUGAAAGAAAAGUAGUUUCUGUACCAAUUAAAGGAUUGACGUGGUCUCAG
Molecule: small RNA, 2948 nt
Filed under: Pan troglodytes (chimpanzee)
Lineage: Eukaryota; Metazoa; Chordata; Mammalia; Primates; Hominidae
Description: retained intron
Source: RNAcentral